RNAcentral lists this ribosomal RNA (233 nucleotides) under Salmonella enterica subsp. enterica serovar Derby. RNAcentral's name for it is "partial 23S ribosomal RNA". It matches the Rfam family "Bacterial large subunit ribosomal RNA", at positions 2699 to 2925 of the family's 2925-position model. Lineage: Bacteria; Pseudomonadati; Pseudomonadota; Gammaproteobacteria; Enterobacterales; Enterobacteriaceae. RNAcentral also lists the same sequence under 2 other names. The record is from RNAcentral.
GGACGCAUCACUGGUGUUCGGGUUGUCAUGCCAAUGGCACUGCCCGGUAGCUAAAUGCGGAAGAGAUAAGUGCUGAAAGCAUCUAAGCACGAAACUUGCCCCGAGAUGAGUUCUCCCUGAGACUUUAGAGUCUCCUGAAGGAACGUUGAAGACGACGACGUUGAUAGGCCGGGUGUGUAAGCGCAGCGAUGCGUUGAGCUAACCGGUACUAAUGAACCGUGAGGCUUAACCUU